CCCAAUUCUAAAGAAGCCCAAUCUUGACCCUAACUCCCCAUCCAACUAUCGUCCUAUCUCGCUACUGCCUUUUGCAUCCAAGAUCCUUGAAAGAAUUGUGUAUGCGAGACUGACAGACUUCCUCGAGUCCAACUCUCUGCUAGACCCGCUUCAGUCUGGUUUCCGCGCUAAGCACUCUGUGGAAACGGCACUGACCAAAGUAUCCAAUGAUCUACUCGCUGCAAAAUCUCGUGGUCACUACUCUAUCCUAAUUCUCCUUGACCUGUCUGCAGCUUUUGACACUGUUGAUCAUCAACGGCUUCUUCUCAUCCUCCGCAAUAUCGGUCUACAAGAUAUUGCUCUCUCCUGGUGCUCCUCCUACCUCUCCCAGCGCUCUUUCAGUGUUUCUUU
Molecule: non-coding RNA, 390 nt
Organism: Pelobates cultripes (western spadefoot toad)
Lineage: Eukaryota; Metazoa; Chordata; Amphibia; Anura; Pelobatidae
Source: the annotation of a GenBank genome assembly